GUGUCGGUAGUGGACCGGUUGAGCACGCGCUCCCGUGUAGGGUGAGAUAUGGGUUCAAAUCCCAGUUGACGCA
This is a non-coding RNA of Parelaphostrongylus tenuis, 73 nucleotides long. NCBI's taxonomy places the organism in Eukaryota, Metazoa, Nematoda, Chromadorea, Rhabditida, Metastrongylidae. The record is from the annotation of a GenBank genome assembly.